CCUACGGGAGGCUGCAGUGGGGAAUAUUGGACAAUGGGGGGAACCCUGAUCCAGCCAUGCCGCGUGUGUGAAGAAGGCCCUCGGGUUGUAAAGCACUUUCAGUGAGGAAGAACGCCUGGUGGUUAAUACCCAUCAGGAAAGACAUCACUCACAGAAGAAGCACCGGCUAACUCCGUGCCAGCAGCCGCGGUAAUACGGAGGGUGCGAGCGUUAAUCGGAAUUACUGGGCGUAAAGCGCGCGUAGGUGGCUUGAUAAGCCGGUUGUGAAAGCCCCGGGCUCAACCUGGGAACGGCAUCCGGAACUGGCAAGCUAGAGUGCAGGAGAGGAAGGUAGAAUUCCCGGUGUAGCGGUGAAAUGCGUAGAGAUCGGGAGGAAUACCAGUGGCGAAGGCGGCCUUCUGGACUGACACUGACACUGAGGUGCGAAAGCGUGGGUAGCAAACAGGAUUAGAUACCCCUGUAGUC
RNAcentral lists this ribosomal RNA (465 nucleotides) under Vreelandella stevensii. RNAcentral describes it as "partial 16S ribosomal RNA". It matches the Rfam family "Bacterial small subunit ribosomal RNA", at positions 338 to 795 of the family's 1533-position model. Lineage: Bacteria; Pseudomonadati; Pseudomonadota; Gammaproteobacteria; Oceanospirillales; Halomonadaceae. The record is from RNAcentral.